RNAcentral lists this ribosomal RNA (377 nucleotides) under uncultured cyanobacterium. RNAcentral's name for it is "bacterial SSU rRNA". It matches the Rfam family "Bacterial small subunit ribosomal RNA", at positions 376 to 770 of the family's 1533-position model. The record is from RNAcentral. Lineage: Bacteria; Bacillati; Cyanobacteriota.
CGCAAGCCUGACGGAGCAAGACCGCGUGCGGGAUGACGGCCUAAUGGUUGUAAACCGCUUUUCUCUGGGAAGAUGAUGACGGUACCAGAGGAAUCAGCCUCGGCUAACUCCGUGCCAGCAGCCGCGGUAAUACGGAGGAGGCAAGCGUUAUCCGGAAUUAUUGGGCGUAAAGCGUCCGUAGGUGGUUAUUCAAGUCUGCUGUCAAAGCGUGGGGCUUAACUCCAUAGAGGCAGUGGAAACUGGACGACUUGAGUGCGGUAGGGGUCGAGGGAAUUCCCAGUGUAGCGGUGAAAUGCGUAGAUAUUGGGAAGAACACCAGUGGCGAAAGCGCUCGACUGGGCCUGCACUGACACUGAGGGACGAAAGCUAGGGGAGCG